AUGUAUUGGAAAUCUCAACUAAAAAUAGAACUGUAUUUUCUAUUAGAUCCAAAGAUCCUCCUGCGCUUAGAUAACAAAACAACAUCAUCUCAGACCAUUUUGCGAUUCCUGAUCCAUAUAGGAAGGUUAGAAAAGUUCAACUUAAACAAGAAAAAGAAAUAUGUGUUCAAGCAUUGUCUACUUAAGGACUCUGAACCUUCUGAACAUUCAGAACACAAACUAAAUUUGAAGCUGGCCAAAACAGGAGAAAAGCAUCAUUCAAUUUGCCGCCUUCACUCAAGAUUCAUCGAUGGUUCAGGAGUCACCAAGUGA
Molecule: ribosomal RNA, 312 nt
Filed under: Triticum aestivum (bread wheat)
Lineage: Eukaryota; Viridiplantae; Streptophyta; Magnoliopsida; Poales; Poaceae
Description: partial small subunit ribosomal RNA
Source: RNAcentral